CUAGGUAAGUUCUACAGGGGGCUUGAGCCCAGGACCCCGAGAUCAAGACUCUCAUGUUGUACCUACCGAGCCAGCCAGGGGCCCCCUCUGUCUUUUUCUUUCUUUCUUUUUAUUUUUUAAUGUCACAUCUUGGACCCUUCAGCUCUCUUGAAUCCUUUCAUCUGUCCCCCUUCCACGCUGCUACCUCCUCUACCCGUUUCCGUCCCUGCCCGGCCCUUCCCCUCCCACCUCGGCCCCUCGACUCCCGAUCACCACUGGAGCUUUGAGCCUCCUCCCCAUGGUGGGCUCUUGAGGGGCUCGGAGACGCCACAAGCAACCAUCUGGGGGGAAAUGGGCUGCUCGGGAACAGGAAAUGAACGUCACCCGCCAGCCCCUUGUAUUUGCCACACCCAGCGCUUCCUCUCUGAAGCAGGAAGGUUUCAAAGGCCCCAGGACUCUUCACCCCAAUUUCUCCCCUAAAGAAAUCUGUGAAAAAUUAGUCGGUAAAACACAGUAAGCUCACAUUUACCGCCAUUAAGCUUGUACCAGUGUGCAGUUCUGCAGCGCGCAUGUAUUCUGACCGCCGUGCAACGCUUCUCCAGCUCCUGCUCAUCUCGUGACUGAAGAUCUGUACCCACAGCUCUGUGUUUCCUCCCCCUCUGCCCCCACGGCCCCCGCAGUUCUGUUUCUGUAAAUGUGACUACUUUAGAUAGCACAUAUAAGAGGAAUCGUAGGGUACUUGUCUUUCUGUGACUUGCCCAUUUCACUUGGCAGAAGGUCCAGAAUUACCUUCUUUUCUAAGAUUGAGCAACGUCCCGUUGUGUAGCUGCCACACGUUCUUUCUCCAUUCCUCUGUGUGUGGACAUGCGCGUGUUUCUACCUCUCAACUCUGGAGAACAACCCUGCAACGAACGGGAAGUGCAAGUACCCUUCGCAACGUUGCUUCCAAUGCCUACGGAGGUAAAAUCAGGAGUGAGAUGGCUCCAUCAUGCGAAGCGACAAGCUGAGUGUCAUUGUCGGAAAGCAGCAGCUGACGGCCCACUGCCAAUGUGGCCCUUUUGUCCAGAUGAUUCUUCCAGACUCUCUGGGUAUGACCCAAGCCAGUGGGGUCCCAGAAACCUCUACCGAAUUCCAUGUAUCUGAAAGCACGUCCACACGUGGACUCACAGUGUCCGUAUCUUCAAGUUCCAUGAGGAAAGGACACAAAAGAUUCCCAAGACAAAAUGUAGUUUGGAUUCCUUUCAUUCUACUUGGGCCCAUAAAGUAAAGACAUGGAGUAAUCUCCAUUGAACACGGAACACAGAGGAGAAGAAAGGACGCAGGUGGUGAAGAGUGACCCGGCCAGUAACGCUCUGACUCUUCAGCUGCAACAUUUGGGCUGUGCUGACCACCAGCAGGGCCGCCAGCAAACAGCACCGCGGGCUGCAGGACACGAAGGCGCUGCUCCAGGCGGGACCUCGCUCCAGUCCGUGUGCUGUCAGCUGUCCCCCUGCCCACCCGCAUCCACCCCCAUGAGUCUGAGGACCUCCAGGCCCCGGUAGACACUGUGAGGAUCCUGUCCCGCUGGAUGGACGGCCCCCACCUCUCCUUUCUGGCCUCCCGCAUAAGCUGGGACCAAGCCAAACCCGUCCCAGCGUCCCCUCUCCGCACCUGAACUGCACACAGAACUCCAGCGUUCACUUCGGUCCUCACACAGGCUCGGCCUGCACACAUCUCCUUCUAUUAAAGGUCUUUCCCGCCACGUGGUUGCUGCAGCAAGAAUCAUGAGUCACUAUUGAAUCUUUGGUCCCCCCUGCCCCAUGUGCGAUCUGUCAGCCACCCUCUCCAGGUCCCCCACCUGCCCUGACCUUUCUCCUAUUUCUCUCCCUCUUUCUUCUCCACUAUGACCACGAGUCCAAACUGUGGUUUCCUACGUGGACCUGGCAGGAUCUAACCAGUCUUGCAGGGCGUUCAGUCCCUACUGCGGCUGUAACAAGUUACCACAACCUCAGUGGCUUCACACAGCAGGGUUUGUUAACCCUAGUUUUGUAGCUCAGAAGCCUGACACAGUUGGAGCCAUCGGCUUGCCCAAGAUAGUCCCCCAUUUAAAGGCCAGCCUAUUAACAACCUUAAUUCCCCGUUGCCCUGUCCAGCCCCGUAUUCACAGGCUCUGGGGAGCAGGGUGUGGGCAUCCCUGGGGGUCACUCUUCUCCCUACCACACUCAGCUUCCACUGUCUCCUCUCCGGAGUUUUCUCCACCCGGCAAGUGGAGUGAAACUGCUAGAAUAACAUCAUGUAAAUAGAUUGUGUCACUUAUGGAAAACAAAUCAAACAAUAAAGAGUCCCCUUAGACA
Long non-coding RNA from Ailuropoda melanoleuca (giant panda), 2312 nucleotides. RefSeq lists it as uncharacterized. NCBI's taxonomy places the organism in Eukaryota, Metazoa, Chordata, Mammalia, Carnivora, Ursidae. The transcript has 3 exons. The record is from RefSeq and is a predicted model, not a curated record.